UGGGGAAUAUUGGGCAAUGGGCGCAAGCCUGACCCAGCAACGCCGCGUGAGGGAAGAAGGCUUUCGGGUUGUAAACCUCUGUCCUUGGUGACGAAAAAAAUGACGGUAGCCAAGGAGGAAGCCCCGGCUAACUACGUGCCAGCAGCCGCGGUAAUACGUAGGGGGCGAGCGUUGUCCGGAAUUACUGGGCGUAAAGGGUGCGUAGGUGGCCUUUUAAGUUGGAUGUGAAAUACCCGGGCUUAACUUGGGGGGUGCAUCUAAUACUGGAGGGCUAGAGUGCAGGAGAGGAAAGCGGAAUUCCUAGUGUAGCGGUGAAAUGCGUAGAUAUUAGGAGGAACACCAGUGGCGAAGGCGGCUUUCUGGACUGUAACUGACACUGAGGCACGAAAGCGUGGGGAGCAAACAG
This 406-nucleotide ribosomal RNA is filed under the name uncultured Christensenellaceae bacterium. Its description in RNAcentral is "bacterial SSU rRNA". It matches the Rfam family "Bacterial small subunit ribosomal RNA", at positions 355 to 775 of the family's 1533-position model. Lineage: Bacteria; Bacillati; Bacillota; Clostridia; Christensenellales; Christensenellaceae. The record is from RNAcentral.